AUUGAACGCUGGCGGCAGGCCUAACACAUGCAAGUCGAACGGUAACAGGAAACAGCUUGCUGUUUCGCUGACGAGUGGCGGACGGGUGAGUAAUGUCUGGGAAACUGCCUGAUGGAGGGGGAUAACUACUGGAAACGGUAGCUAAUACCGCAUAACGUCGCAAGACCAAAGAGGGGGACCUUCGGGCCUCUUGCCAUCGGAUGUGCCCAGAUGGGAUUAGCUAGUAGGUGGGGUAACGGCUCACCUAGGCGACGAUCCCUAGCUGGUCUGAGAGGAUGACCAGCCACACUGGAACUGAGACACGGUCCAGACUCCUACGGGAGGCAGCAGUGGGGAAUAUUGCACAAUGGGCGCAAGCCUGAUGCAGCCAUGCCGCGUGUAUGAAGAAGGCCUUCGGGUUGUAAAGUACUUUCAGCGGGGAGGAAGGGAGUAAAGUUAAUACCUUUGCUCAUUGACGAUACCCGCAGAAGAAGCACCGGCUAACUCCGUG
Molecule: ribosomal RNA, 490 nt
Filed under: uncultured bacterium
Lineage: Bacteria
Description: partial 16S ribosomal RNA
Rfam family: Bacterial small subunit ribosomal RNA
Source: RNAcentral